This 315-nucleotide unclassified non-coding RNA is filed under the name Hevea brasiliensis (rubber tree). Lineage: Eukaryota; Viridiplantae; Streptophyta; Magnoliopsida; Malpighiales; Euphorbiaceae. The record is from RNAcentral.
ACUGUUGCCCAUAUCAUCUUCAGUAGGAAGUCCUACAGCCUUACCAUGUGCCCUGAGCAACCUCCAAUGCUCAGGAGCUCCCUUCUUAAGGGAAUCCAUGGUGGGAGUUUCGGCAACAUGGAUACAAUUGUAACGAUCUGGGUUAGCUUCACCCCACCCAUCCAAAACAAUAAGACCCACAAUCUUAUCCUUAGGAAGCUUAGGAUGAUCCGGCAAUUUCCAUGAGAAUCCAGAACUCCCCAUCGAUCUUCUUUGCUUAAAUUUCCUGAAGCAGCAGCGUAUCAAUCAAAAGGGAGAGGUAAAAGGCAGGACCCG